This 21-nucleotide small nuclear RNA is filed under the name Arabidopsis thaliana (thale cress). Its description in RNAcentral is "snRNA_14143". The record is from RNAcentral. Lineage: Eukaryota; Viridiplantae; Streptophyta; Magnoliopsida; Brassicales; Brassicaceae.
GAACCCACGUAUGUGGCAAAA